AGAGCGAACGCUGGCGGCAGGCUUAACACAUGCAAGUCGAGCGGGCGUAGCAAUACGUCAGCGGCAGACGGGUGAGUAACGCGUGGGAACAUACCUUUUGGUUCGGAACAACACAGGGAAACUUGUGCUAAUACCGGAUAAGCCCUUACGGGGAAAGAUUUAUCGCCGAAAGAUUGGCCCGCGUCUGAUUAGCUAGUUGGUGAGGUAACGGCUCACCAAGGCGACGAUCAGUAGCUGGUCUGAGAGGAUGAUCAGCCACAUUGGGACUGAGACACGGCCCAAACUCCUACGGGAGGCAGCAGUGGGGAAUAUUGGACAAUGGGCGCAAGCCUGAUCCAGCCAUGCCGUGUGAGUGAUGAAGGCCCUAAGGGUUGUAAAGCUCUUUGUGCGGGAAGAUAAUGACGGUACCGCAAGAAUAAGCCCCGCUAACUUCGCGCCAGCAGCCGC
RNAcentral lists this ribosomal RNA (447 nucleotides) under uncultured bacterium. RNAcentral describes it as "SSU rRNA". It matches the Rfam family "Bacterial small subunit ribosomal RNA", at positions 26 to 518 of the family's 1533-position model. The record is from RNAcentral.